Molecule: ribosomal RNA, 195 nt
Filed under: Triticum aestivum (bread wheat)
Lineage: Eukaryota; Viridiplantae; Streptophyta; Magnoliopsida; Poales; Poaceae
Description: partial small subunit ribosomal RNA
Source: RNAcentral
AUGGACAAGAAUAUGCAGCGAGAGCGAGAGGUGAUGGACAAGAAUCUGAAGCAGGAGCGGGCAACCGUGGACCGCAUGAGGAAGGAGGAGCGUGCAGCCGUGGAACAGAUGAUGACUGAGGAGCGUGCAGCCAUGGAUAAGAGGUUGAAGCAUUUCCAUGACGAUAUGGACCUAAAGUUGAAGCAGGAGCGCUAG